Molecule: ribosomal RNA, 766 nt
Filed under: uncultured Emiliania
Lineage: Eukaryota; Haptophyta; Isochrysidales; Noelaerhabdaceae
Description: SSU rRNA
Rfam family: Eukaryotic small subunit ribosomal RNA
Source: RNAcentral
UAGUCGGAUUCGGGGCGGGCCGACCGGUCUGCCGAUGGGUAUGCACUGGCCGGCGCGUCCUUCCACCCGGAGACCGCGCCUACUCUUAACUGAGCGGGCGCGGGAGACGGGUCUUUUACUUUGAAAAAAUCAGAGUGUUUCAAGCAGGCAGUCGCUCUUGCAUGGAUUAGCAUGGGAUAAUGAAAUAGGACUCUGGUGCUAUUUUGUUGGUUUCGAACACCGGAGUAAUGAUUAACAGGGACAGUCAGGGGCACUCGUAUUCCGCCGAGAGAGGUGAAAUUCUCAGACCAGCGGAAGACGAACCACUGCGAAAGCAUUUGCCAGGGAUGUUUUCACUGAUCAAGAACGAAAGUUAGGGGAUCGAAGACGAUCAGAUACCGUCGUAGUCUUAACCAUAAACCAUGCCGACUAGGGAUUGGAGGAUGUUCCAUUUGUGACUCCUUCAGCACCUUUCGGGAAACUAAAGUCUUUGGGUUCCGGGGGGAGUAUGGUUGCAAGGCUGAAACUUAAAGGAAUUGACGGAAGGGCACCACCAGGAGUGGAGCCUGCGGCUUAAUUUGACUCAACACGGGGAAACUUACCAGGUCCAGACAUUGUGAGGAUUGACAGAUUGAGAGCUCUUUCUUGAUUCGAUGGGUGGUGGUGCAUGGCCGUUCUUAGUUGGUGGAGUGAUUUGUCUGGUUAAUUCCGUUAACGAACGAGACCGCAGCCUGCUAAAUAGCGACGCGAACCCUCCGUUCGCUGGAGCUUCUUAGAGGGACAACUU